GGCUGGUCCAAUGGUAGUGGGUUAUCAGAACUUACUAACAUUAGCGUCACUGAAGUUGGUAUGCAACCUCCACUGCUAAAAAUCUGACUGGCUUAAA
RNAcentral lists this Y RNA (97 nucleotides) under Prolemur simus (greater bamboo lemur). Its description in RNAcentral is "Y RNA (ENSPSMG00000013630.1)". It matches the Rfam family "Y RNA". Rfam says of the family: Y RNAs are components of the Ro ribonucleoprotein particle (Ro RNP), in association with Ro60 and La proteins. The record is from Rfam by way of RNAcentral. Lineage: Eukaryota; Metazoa; Chordata; Mammalia; Primates; Lemuridae.